RNAcentral lists this unclassified non-coding RNA (378 nucleotides) under uncultured bacterium. Its description in RNAcentral is "contains 16S-23S intergenic spacer region". The record is from RNAcentral.
UCCGGUUUGUCACCGGCAGUCUCAUUAGAGUGCCCAACUGAAUGUAGCAACUAAUGACAAGGGUUGCGCUCGUUGCGGGACUUAACCCAACAUCUCACGACACGAGCUGACGACAGCCAUGCAGCACCUGUGUUCCCGUUCCCUUUCGGGCACAGCCCCGUUUCCGGAGCCUCCAGGACAUGUCAAGGGUAGGUAAGGUUUUUCGCGUUGCAUCGAAUUAAACCACAUACUCCACCGCUUGUGCGGGCCCCCGUCAAUUUCUUUGAGUUUUAAUCUUGCGACCGUACUCCCCAGGCGGCGCGUUUAACGCGUUAGCUCCGGCACGGAAGGGGUCGAAUCCUCCCACACCAAACGCGCACCGUUUACGGCGUGGACUAC